UAUUUUCGUCCUAAAAAAAAGAAAGUAAAAACCUUUUCCUCUCUCUCUCUCCUCUCCUCCUCACGCCGCGAACGCGGAUGCGGCCACCACCUGGCCCUGCGCCGGCGCGGCGGCGGCGGCGGCGGCGGAGUCCUCCCCUCCUCUCCCUCUUCCCGCUGUGGGGUUCCUGCAAUCUGCAUUUGGUCAGCAAUGGCGGUUCUAGCCGCUAGUGCAAUUGAGGGUUGUGAACCCUCUUCAAAGCUUUCUGACGAUUCUUUCUUUGAAGGAGGGGAUGCAAUAUUGACAUCUGAGGAUAUAGUUUGAAGAGUGGUUGGAGGUAACAGACCCCUUCAUAUGCGUGAUAUUAGGGUAACAGUUGAGAGUGACGGUGCCUUUGUCAUAAACUUCAAAGGAGUAAGGGGAAGUCCCAUGGUUUGUGCCAUUUGUAUUCGAAAAACGGUAGCAAUAGCAGAACAAGUCCUUGAUAGACAAGCUGAUCAACUGAGAAGUGUUUCCCAAAAGUACGAAUAUGCCAAUAAAUUAUGGGCAGCUGCCAUAUCUAACUUGGAAAAUAAAAUCAAGGUCAUGAAACAAGAGCAAACAUUGCUAUCUCUUGAAGCAAGAUGGCCAUGCAAACGCUGUUCCUGAACCGAGUAAGAUGUUGUGCAGUGUGAAGAUCUUAAACUGAAGUACUAUGAAGAGAUGGCCAAGAGAAAGAAACUUCAUAAUAUUGUCGAGGAGACCAAAGGUGCAGGACUGCAGGGAGCUGUUGUACCGUCCAACUCCACAAAUAUGGGCUGCUUGCAUGGUCCUCCUGUGCUGGCAAGGGCAUCGGCUGGUACUGCAGGCUUGGCCGCUGCAAGGGGUGCUGGCGCCGUCGGCAGGGCCCAGCUGUUCCUGCUCCCAAGGGACGACCAUGACUGUUGCAGCCAUAGUGGUGGCCACGCUUUGCAAGGCAGUGAAUGUGAAUUAACGACAUGGUCAGCCACAAAGCAGGUCUGCUUGGGGAUUGCCAGAUUAGCAAGGUCAAUUUCAUUGCAUUGGAAAUUGUUCUGGCUGCCACACCAUUAAGUGCGGUGAGACUGAAUCUUGGAGAUAAAUUACCGAAGAACUGAACUCUAAUUGUGCAGGUCCGUCACCUGGUGCACUUCGUCAUUGGAUCUUCCUCCUCAACUCCGUCAUGUGCAGAUCCAGCGCACGGUGCGCCACCGUUGUGAAUGUCAAACCGGUUCAGCUUGCGAUCAUCCAUCGGCUUCCUCGACGUCGUCCUUGAAAGCGACCCUGUGCAGGUUUGCCGAAUGCACUCCCGGAAAACGUUGAUUCGCUGAAAACUUCAGCAAAGGAGCACUUGAAGAAUAAGUGAUCGCUGUCUUCGUCUUGAUGCAAGCAUAUUUCGUAUUUUACCGUUUGCACCAUGUUCUUCACAAGCAAAUUUGUCAUUGUUGGUAGUCGAUUUUUGAAGAUAAGCCAGGCACAAGUUGUUGAACUCAGAGGGGGGCUGAAUUCUUCUACACAAAUUCCCAGAUUGGACAAGGGGCAGAAGCAGAAGUAUUGAUCUGAUCAUAUAGAGCCUUCCAUGUGAGAGCUUGAGUGCAACCAGCAGCCGGACUGUAUUGUCGUAUAUCUUCUUUGUCAUCGAGGUGCACUGCAUUGGUGACAUCAGGUCAUGGGAGGUGAGAAACAAGUUUUGGCGUGUGACACUACGCUGGUCAUAGGAAAUAAAACACAAUAUGAGAAGAUCAUACAACGGCCUGCUUUUCCAGUUUGCAGAAACUGUGAUGGUUUUAGGAUUUCUUGUUCUUUUGUGAAGUUUAAGGGUUGAGGAGACAGCAAGGAAGAGUGGCGAGAUGAGACUGUGUACUAGAGAUGCCUACUUUGUUGAUAUCUUGAGACAGUGCAGGUUUUGGCACUUGACAAACACUUUAUUGACCCACGUUGUUUAUUAAAUCCCACACAAGAAGUAAUGAGAGGGCAUUAUACCAUUAACAGAUGCUGUGCCCAUUAUUCCAAGCGCGUCCGCCCACGCUGAAAUCGGCCAGGCCGAUGCUGUUCAGUGCUCACUAGUAGAGGCAAGCGGCUGACCACGAACGCCAGGGACGAUGCGAAUGCAACCUGCAUCGUCUCAACUGCUCACCAGGAACAAGAACUUAAUUACCGGUGGCCAUGGUGACGUGUUAUCAUGAGCAUGGCGAGCCCAGACACGAGCAUCGCCAUGGCAGCCUAUGGCGAUCGAGCUCCGCUGCUCGAAAGCGCCGGCCUGGGCAUUCUCGAGGGCGGCGGCCGCAGGCGAGUGUCGGCCUCGAGGGUGUUGGCAUGGGCAAGAUUGAGGGCUGCUGGGGCGGAUGGGCUCUAGGACGGCGGCCGAAGUCUAGGAUGAGCGCAAGAUGGGAGAACGGAAAGGCUAAAGAAUAGAAGGACAUUAUCGAUGAAUUUCAGACCAGACCAAGUGAACUAAUUCCCCUCAGCCGCGGCGAAGCUAAUCGUGCUACUCGUCUCCGUCUCGCGCCCGACCGGGCCCACCGGCACCCGUUGUCAAACGUUGUCAAAUUUAUGCAGGCUCUUAAGUCCACCAUUCUCUUUUGUGUAGUUAUACAAAGUCACAAACCUGUAUUAUCGACGAAAAUCUCGUUUCUUGUAGAUUCAGAUGCAUGGCCUCUCUGUUUACUUUAAACAUCAUUCAAGCGGACAACAGGUGGAUGUUAAUUUGCCUAAAACCGACAUUUUUCAUCCUCACUAAUAGCUGAUCCAUUUUGCUGUGCUACUUAUUUACUGUUCUCUGCAAUGACUGUUUGGAGAUGCUGCUCCACAAAAUUCAGUGAUGAAUAGAUGUGUCUUGUGUAUUUAUCAUA
Non-coding RNA from Oryza sativa Japonica Group (Japanese rice), 2828 nucleotides. Lineage: Eukaryota; Viridiplantae; Streptophyta; Magnoliopsida; Poales; Poaceae. The record is from RefSeq and is a predicted model, not a curated record.